Molecule: long non-coding RNA, 881 nt
Organism: Lycium ferocissimum
Lineage: Eukaryota; Viridiplantae; Streptophyta; Magnoliopsida; Solanales; Solanaceae
Exons: 3
Source: RefSeq, a predicted model, not a curated record
UUCAUCUACUUUAUCCCACUUGUUUAAUUCUUUUCCUUCUCAUAUUGCAUAUGUUUUACCCUCCUUUCUGUAUAAUCCAGACUAUGCAGCAAGCUUCUUUUGGGUUUCUGAUUAUGAAAUUCAUAUACCUUAUGACUCUUAUGGAAUCAAUAGAUUUUGAUUGAUCUGAAUCUUUUGAGUGGCUAUUUGAUGCAAAUUUUGUCCGAAACAGCAGGUCAAAGAAUUUCAAAUAUCCAAAACUCUAAUUUUAAAAUUCCACAUAGCUCUAUAAAUUCGACAUGGUACAUUGCAGAAAAGGAAACAGGAGUGCGAGAGGACGGAGGAAUAUAAACCAAGGCUAUGGUGAUGGCGGAGGUGGUCCCAAUCACCUUAUUCCGGAUGCUAUCUGUUAAUGACCUUCAUGUCUCAGAGGACCUACUCAGGUAGGAAUUUACCAUCUGGAGUUUUAUUUUUGCAUACUGAUCAUUGACUUAUACGUACGCAUAAUCUGUGAUUGCUCGAACAUGUCAAAAGGAUUGGCCUGCUGGAGUAUAAUGUAAUGGUAGAAGUAUGCAUAUAUAUUUAACAAUUAUUCGUUUUGGUUAGCUUCUUUAUAGCGUAAAUAUGCUUUAGCUUCAGCUCAAAUGAUAUUUGUAAUUGGUGACACGGUUUUCAUACCUUAGAAGAGCUUUCCUACUUUGGCAGUGGCUAAUUUGUAAGUUUUUUACUUUUAGGUUCUCCUUUACACGCUUCCGGAGUUGAUAAAGAGAAGCUAUAGCAACAAUGAAUCUUCAUACUUGCAUUAUAUAAUGUUCAUUUAUAAGGUUUUGCUUCUCUGCUUUAUUGCUAGUGUCCACGAGUCCUAUAGAAUGUUUCUCUGAAAUAUCUUCGAUAUUAAUUAA